CUACGGGCCGCACCAGUGGGGAAUCUUGCGCAAUGGGCGAAAGCCUGACGCAGCAACGCCGCGUGCGGGAUGAAGGCCUUCGGGCUGUAAACCGCUUUCAGCAGGAACGAAAAUGACGGUACCUGCAGAAGAAGGAGCGGCCAACUACGUGCCAGCAGCCGCGGUGACACGUAGGCUCCAAGCGUUGUCCGGAUUUAUUGGGCGUAAAGAGCUCGUAGGCGGUUGAGUAAGUCGGGUGUGAAAACUCUGGGCUUAACCCGGAGACGCCAUCCGAUACUGCUCUGACUAGAGUUCAGGAGGGGAGUGGGGAAUUCCUAGUGUAGCGGUGAAAUGCGCAGAUAUUAGGAGGAACACCGGUGGCGAAGGCGCCACUCUGGACUGAAACUGACGCUGAGGAGCGAAAGCACGGGUAGCAAACAGGAUUAGAUACCCGGGUAGUC
RNAcentral lists this ribosomal RNA (440 nucleotides) under uncultured bacterium. RNAcentral's name for it is "partial 16S ribosomal RNA". It matches the Rfam family "Bacterial small subunit ribosomal RNA", at positions 339 to 795 of the family's 1533-position model. The record is from RNAcentral.